GGCUCGUUGGUCUAGGGGUAUGAUUCUCGCUUCGGGUGCGAGAGGUCCCGGGCUCAAGUCCCGGACGAUCCC
Molecule: transfer RNA, 72 nt
Filed under: Ixodes scapularis (black-legged tick)
Lineage: Eukaryota; Metazoa; Arthropoda; Arachnida; Ixodida; Ixodidae
Description: tRNA-Pro for anticodon CGG
Rfam family: tRNA
About the family: Transfer RNA (tRNA) molecules are approximately 80 nucleotides in length.
Source: RNAcentral